RNAcentral lists this ribosomal RNA (1399 nucleotides) under Bacillus safensis. RNAcentral describes it as "bacterial SSU rRNA". It matches the Rfam family "Bacterial small subunit ribosomal RNA". Lineage: Bacteria; Bacillati; Bacillota; Bacilli; Caryophanales; Bacillaceae. The record is from RNAcentral.
UGCAGUCGAGCGGACAGAAGGGAGCUUGCUCCCGGAUGUUAGCGGCGGACGGGUGAGUAACACGUGGGUAACCUGCCUGUAAGACUGGGAUAACUCCGGGAAACCGGAGCUAAUACCGGAUAGUUCCUUGAACCGCAUGGUUCAAGGAUGAAAGACGGUUUCGGCUGUCACUUACAGAUGGACCCGCGGCGCAUUAGCUAGUUGGUGGGGUAAUGGCUCACCAAGGCGACGAUGCGUAGCCGACCUGAGAGGGUGAUCGGCCACACUGGGACUGAGACACGGCCCAGACUCAUACGGGAGGCAGCAGUAGGGAAUCUUCCGCAAUGGACGAAAGUCUGACGGAGCAACGCCGCGUGAGUGAUGAAGGUUUUCGGAUCGUAAAGCUCUGUUGUUAGGGAAGAACAAGUGCGAGAGUAACUGCUCGCACCUUGACGGUACCUAACCAGAAAGCCACGGCUAACUACGUGCCAGCAGCCGCGGUAAUACGUAGGUGGCAAGCGUUGUCCGGAAUUAUUGGGCGUAAAGGGCUCGCAGGCGGUUUCUUAAGUCUGAUGUGAAAGCCCCCGGCUCAACCGGGGAGGGUCAUUGGAAACUGGGGAAACUUGAGUGCAGAAGAGGAGAGUGGAAUUCACGUGUAGCGGUGAAAUGCGUAGAGAUGUGGAGGAACACCAGUGGCGAAGGCGACUCUCUGGUCUGUAACUGACGCUGAGGAGCGAAAGCGUGGGGAGCGAACAGGAUUAGAUACCCUGGUAGUCCACGCCGUAAACGAUGAGUGCUAAGUGUUAGGGGGUUUCCGCCCCUUAGUGCUGCAGCUAACGCAUUAAGCACUCCGCCUGGGGAGUACGGUCGCAAGACUGAAACUCAAAGGAAUUGACGGGGGCCCGCACAAGCGGUGGAGCAUGUGGUUUAAUUCGAAGCAACGCGAAGAACCUUACCAGGUCUUGACAUCCUCUGACAACCCUAGAGAUAGGGCUUUCCCUUCGGGGACAGAGUGACAGGUGGUGCAUGGUUGUCGUCAGCUCGUGUCGUGAGAUGUUGGGUUAAGUCCCGCAACGAGCGCAACCCUUGAUCUUAGUUGCCAGCAUUCAGUUGGGCACUCUAAGGUGACUGCCGGUGACAAACCGGAGGAAGGUGGGGAUGACGUCAAAUCAUCAUGCCCCUUAUGACCUGGGCUACACACGUGCUACAAUGGACAGAACAAAGGGCUGCAAGACCGCAAGGUUUAGCCAAUCCCAUAAAUCUGUUCUCAGUUCGGAUCGCAGUCUGCAACUCGACUGCGUGAAGCUGGAAUCGCUAGUAAUCGCGGAUCAGCAUGCCGCGGUGAAUACGUUCCCGGGCCUUGUACACACCGCCCGUCACACCACGAGAGUUUGCAACACCCGAAGUCGGUGAGGUAACC